AUAGGAUCUGAUGACAUGUGCCUUACAAGUGGAAAAAGCAUGAUUUCUAUGGACCUUUGCCACAUAAUGGGGAGGGUUAAGAAAAAUGCUAUGAUGCAGUACUACACAGCACUAAGUGCUCUAUGAGGAGAGGAAGAGCAUUCUGAAGAAGUCUCUUUAAGCAGGCUUUCCAACAAACCUGGCAUUGAUGAUUCAUGGCCUGCAUCAGAUGAAGAAGACUUCGAUUUUGACACCAAGGUGAAGUGCUCUCGGGUGAAAUUAGUUUUCCUGCUCUGAAUUUAGUUUUAUUUAGUCUUAAAAUUUAGUACUGGUCUGCCUAUCAUUGUUUUAUGUUUGUAAUGGAGAG
Long non-coding RNA from Choloepus didactylus (southern two-toed sloth), 346 nucleotides. RefSeq lists it as uncharacterized. Lineage: Eukaryota; Metazoa; Chordata; Mammalia; Pilosa; Megalonychidae. The record is from RefSeq and is a predicted model, not a curated record. The transcript is spliced from 3 exons.